Molecule: ribosomal RNA, 253 nt
Filed under: uncultured bacterium
Lineage: Bacteria
Description: partial 16S ribosomal RNA
Rfam family: Bacterial small subunit ribosomal RNA
Source: RNAcentral
UACGGAGGGGGCGAGCGUUAUUCGGAAUUAUUGGGCGUAAAGGGCGCGUAGGCGGCUAGAUGUGUCAAAGGUGAAAUCCCUCGGCUCAACUGAGGAACUGCCUUUGAAACUGUCUGGCUUGAGGCCGAGAGAGGGUAGCGGAAUUCCCAGUGUAGCGGUGAAAUGCGUAGAGAUCCGGAAGAACACCGGUGGCGAAGGCGGCCUGCUGGGACAGUGCUGACGCUGAAGCGCGACAGCGUGGGGAGCAAACAGG